UGGGGAAUAUUGGACAAUGGGCGAAAGCCUGAUCCAGCAAUGCCGCGUGAGUGAUGAAGGCCUUAGGGUUGUAAAGCUCUGUUACCCGGGAUGAUAAUGACAGUACCGGGAGAAUAAGUCCCGGCUAACUCCGUGCCAGGAGCCGCGGUAAUACGGAGGGGGCUAGCGUUGUUCGGAAUUACUGGGCGUAAAGCGUACGUAGGCGGCUUUGUAAGUUAGAGGUGAAAGCCCGGGGCUCAACCCCGGAAUUGCCUUUAAGACUGCAUCGCUAGAAUCAUGGAGAGGUGAGUGGAAUUCCGAGUGUAGAGGUGAAAUUCGUAGAUAUUCGGAAGAACACCAGUGGCGAAGGCGACUCACUGGACAUGUAUUGACGCUGAGGUACGAAAGCGUGGGGAGCAAACAGG
Molecule: ribosomal RNA, 404 nt
Filed under: Actinomycetes bacterium
Lineage: Bacteria; Bacillati; Actinomycetota; Actinomycetes
Description: Actinobacteria bacterium partial 16S ribosomal RNA
Rfam family: Bacterial small subunit ribosomal RNA
Source: RNAcentral